Molecule: ribosomal RNA, 440 nt
Filed under: Acanthamoeba jacobsi
Lineage: Eukaryota; Discosea; Longamoebia; Acanthamoebidae
Description: bacterial SSU rRNA
Rfam family: Eukaryotic small subunit ribosomal RNA
Source: RNAcentral
UGGGCCCAGAUCGUUUACCGUGAAAAAAUUAGAGUGUUCAAAGCAGGCAGACCAUUCUUCUGCCACCGAAUACAUUAGCAUGGGAUAAUGGAAUAGGACCCUGUCCUCCUAUUUUGCGUGUUGGUUUUCGAGGACCGGGUAAUGAUUAAUAGGGAUAGUUGGGGGCAUUAAUAUUUAAUUGUCAGAGGUGAAAUUCUUGGAUUUAUGAAAGAUUGACUUCUGCGAAAGCAUCUGCCAAGGAUGUUUUCAUUAAUCAAGAACGAAAGUUAGGGGAUCGAAGACGAUCAGAUACCGUCGUAGUCUUAACCAUAAACGAUGCCGACCAGCGAUUAGGAGACGUUGAAUACAAAACACCACCGUCGGGUCGGCCGUCCUUGGCCGUCGUGCGCGGCGAUCUGCGCCGGAUAUGUGUCCGUUGGCCCGGAUUCCUUCCCUAGCAG